Molecule: transfer RNA, 75 nt
Filed under: Sinorhizobium sp. A49
Lineage: Bacteria; Pseudomonadati; Pseudomonadota; Alphaproteobacteria; Hyphomicrobiales; Rhizobiaceae
Also listed under: 1 other name
Description: tRNA-Lys
Rfam family: tRNA
About the family: Transfer RNA (tRNA) molecules are approximately 80 nucleotides in length. Their secondary structure includes four short double-helical elements and three loops (D, anti-codon, and T loops).
Source: RNAcentral
GGGUGAUUAGCUCAGUUGGUAGAGCAGCUGACUCUUAAUCAGCGGGUCCACGGUUGAGCCCGUGAUCACCCACCA